RNAcentral lists this ribosomal RNA (254 nucleotides) under uncultured bacterium. RNAcentral describes it as "partial 16S ribosomal RNA". It matches the Rfam family "Bacterial small subunit ribosomal RNA", at positions 524 to 777 of the family's 1533-position model. The record is from RNAcentral.
UACAGAGGGGGCAAGCGUUGUUCGGAAUUACUGGGCGUAAAGGGCGCGUAGGCGGCCCGCUAAGUCGAACGUGAAAUCCCCGGGCUCAACCGGGGAACUGCGUCUGAUACUGGGUGGCUUGAAUUCGGGAGAGGGAUGCGGAAUUCCAGGUGUAGCGGUGAAAUGCGUAGAUAUCUGGAGGAAUACCGGUGGCGAAGGCGGCAUCCUGGACCGGCAUUGACGCUGAGGAGCGAAAGCCAGGGGAGCAAAGCGGG